This 508-nucleotide ribosomal RNA is filed under the name uncultured bacterium. RNAcentral's name for it is "partial 16S ribosomal RNA". It matches the Rfam family "Bacterial small subunit ribosomal RNA", at positions 28 to 507 of the family's 1533-position model. The record is from RNAcentral.
GACGAACGCUGGCGGCGUGCCUAAUACAUGCAAGUCGAACGCUUCUUUCCUCCCGAGUGCUUGCACUCAAUUGGAAAGAGGAGAGGCGGACGGUUGAGUAACACUUGGGUAACCUACCCAUCAGUGGGGGAUAACACUUGGAAACAGGUGCUAAUACCGCAUAACAGUUUAUGCCGCAUGGCAUAAGAGUGAAAGGCGCUUUCGGGUGUCGCUGAUGGAUGGACCCGCGGUGCAUGAGCUAGUUGGAGAGGUAACGGCUGACCAAGGCCACGAUGCAUAGCCGACCUGAGAGGGUGAUCGGCCACACUGGGACUGAGACACGGCCCAGACUCCUACGGGAGGCAGCAGUAGGGAAUCUUCGGCAAUGGACGAAAGUCUGACCGAGCAACGCCGCGUGAGUGAAGAAGGUUUUCGGAUCGGAAAACUCUGUUGUUAGUGAAGAACAAGGACGUUAGUAACUGAGCGUCCCCUGACGGUAUCUAACCAGAAAGCCACGGCUAACUACGUG